Molecule: ribosomal RNA, 734 nt
Filed under: uncultured bacterium
Lineage: Bacteria
Description: bacterial SSU rRNA
Rfam family: Bacterial small subunit ribosomal RNA
Source: RNAcentral
GAGUUUGCUCCUGGCUCAGGACGAACGCUGGCGGCGUGCUUAACACAUGCAAGUCGAACGGAGCACCCCUGAAGGAGUUUUCGGACAACGGAUGGGAAUGCUUAGUGGCGGACUGGUGAGUAACGCGUGAGGAACCUGCCUUCCAGAGGGGGACAACAGUUGGAAACGACUGCUAAUACCGCAUGAUGCGUUGGAGCCGCAUGACUCCGACGUCAAAGAUUUAUCGCUGGAAGAUGGCCUCGCGUCUGAUUAGCUAGUUGGUGAGGUAACGGCCCACCAAGGCGACGAUCAGUAGCCGGACUGAGAGGUUGGCCGGCCACAUUGGGAGUGAGAUACGGCCCAGACUCCUACGGGAGGCAGCAGUGGGGAAUAUUGGGCAAUGGACGCAAGCCUGACCCAGCAACGCCGCGUGAAGGAAGAAGGCUUUCGGGUUGUAAACUUCUUUUAAGGGGGAAGAGCAGAAGACGGUACCCCUUGAAUAAGCCACGGCUAACUACGUGCCAGCAGCCGCGGUAAUACGUAGGUGGCAAGCGUUGUCCGGAUUUACUGGGUGUAAAGGGCGUGCAGCCGGAGAGACAGGUCAGAUGUGAAAUCCACGGGCUCAACCCGUGAACUGCAUUUGAAACUGUUUCCCUUGAGUGUCGGAGAGGUAAUCGGAAUUCCUUGUGUAGCGGUGAAAUGCGUAGAUAUAAGGAAGAACACCAGUGGCGAAGGCGGAUUACUGGACGAUAACU